AAUAGAUACCCCGGUAGUCCACGCCGUAAACGAUGAGUGCUAAGUGCUAGGGGGGUUUCCGCCCCUUAGUGCUGCAGCUAACGCAUUAAGCACUCCGCCUGGGGAGUACGGUCGCAAGACUGAAACUCAAAGGAAUUGACGGGGGCCCGCACAAGCGGUGGAGCAUGUGGUUUAAUUCGAAGCAACGCGAAGAACCUUACCAGGUCUUGACAUCCUCUGACAAUCCUAGAGAUAGGACGUCCCCUUCGGGGGCAGAGUGACAGGUGGUGCAUGGUUGUCGUCAGCUCGUGUCGUGAGAUGUUGGGCUAAGUCCCGCAACGAGCGCAACCCUUGAUCUUAGUUGCCAGCAUUCAGUUGGGCACUCUAAGGUGACUGCCGGUGACAAACCGGAGGAAGGUGGGGAUGACGUCAAAUCAUCAUGCCCCUUAUGACCUGGGCUACACACGUGCUACAAUGGACAGAACAAAGGGCAGCGAAACCGCGAGGUUAAGCCAAUCCCACAAAUCUGUUCUCAGUUCGGAUCGCU
This 526-nucleotide ribosomal RNA is filed under the name uncultured bacterium. RNAcentral's name for it is "bacterial SSU rRNA". It matches the Rfam family "Bacterial small subunit ribosomal RNA", at positions 777 to 1302 of the family's 1533-position model. The record is from RNAcentral.